This 774-nucleotide ribosomal RNA is filed under the name uncultured Neocallimastigales. RNAcentral's name for it is "partial large subunit ribosomal RNA". It matches the Rfam family "Eukaryotic large subunit ribosomal RNA", at positions 22 to 616 of the family's 3401-position model. Lineage: Eukaryota; Fungi; Neocallimastigomycota; Neocallimastigomycetes; Neocallimastigales. The record is from RNAcentral.
GUACACGCUGUGACUAGCAUAUCAAUAAGCGGAGGAAAAGAAACUAACAAGGAUUCCCCUAGUAACGGCGAGUGAAGCGGGAAGAGCUCAAAUUUGAAAUCUUAAAGGGUUUCCCUUUACGAAUUGUAGUUUAAAGAAGUGUUUUCUGUUGAGGUUUUGGUAAAAGUUCUUUGGAAUAGGACAUCAUAGAGGGUGAGAAUCCCGUAUUUGACCAUUAUUUUCAGCUUUGUGAUACACUUUCAAAGAGUCGGAUUGUUUGGGAAUGCAGUCCAAAAUGGGUGGUAAAUUUCAUCUAAAGCUAAAUAUUGGCGAGAGACCGAUAGCGAACAAGUACCGUGAGGGAAAGAUGAAAAGAACUUUGAAAAGAGAGUUAAACAGUACGUGAAAUUGUCAAAAGGGAAGCGUUUGACACCAGUGUUGUUUUUCUGAAAAUCAAUUAAAGAACUGUUUAUGCUAAGUUGUUUAGACUUUAUCAGCUAACUGUUUAGUUUUGAGCUUUUCUUUAAUGCACUUUUCAGUUAACAAGUCAACAUCAAUUUCUUCUGCUGUAAAAAAGCUUGAGGAAGGUGGCUUGAGAUUCGUCUUAAGUGUUUAUAGCCUCUUGCCUAUGCAGUCGGAGAGAUUGAGGUCUGCAGCGUAGAUCCUUCGGGGCUAAAUGCAUUUGUGCUAAGUUAUAGCAUUUUAUAGACAACUUGUUGACUAUGAUUUGUCUUGUAGCUUACUCGCUUAUGUUAUUUUACCUACGCUUAGGAUGUUGAGCGCAUGUCUCUCUCU